This is a small nucleolar RNA of Tachyglossus aculeatus (Australian echidna), 138 nucleotides long. NCBI's taxonomy places the organism in Eukaryota, Metazoa, Chordata, Mammalia, Monotremata, Tachyglossidae. The record is from RefSeq and is a predicted model, not a curated record.
CCCAUCUCCGGGUCGCACCUGGAGAGUGUCUAGUACUCCGCCAGUCUCGACUAUGAGAAGGAGAGUCAAGCAGAGGUAUAUCCAUUCCAUUCCUAGUUUGGGAAGUGGCUAGCAAGUGGAAGGCAAUCUGCUACACUG